GUGCCAUCUACUUCUACAGGUGUAUAUUCAAAGCUAUCUAUUUCUACAGGUAUAUAUUCUGUCCUAUCUAUUUCUACAGGUAUAUAUUCUGUGCUAUCUAUUUCAACAGGUAUAUAUUCUGUGCUAUAUAUUUCUACAGGUAUUUAUUCGGUGCUAUCUAUUUCUACAGGUAUAUAUUCGGUGCUAUCUAUUUCUACAGGUAUAUAUUCUGUGCUAUCUAUUUCUACAGGUAUAUAUUCUGUCCUAUAUAUUUCUACAGGUAUGUAUU
This is a long non-coding RNA of Oncorhynchus tshawytscha (Chinook salmon), 268 nucleotides long. Lineage: Eukaryota; Metazoa; Chordata; Actinopteri; Salmoniformes; Salmonidae. The record is from Ensembl.